GGUUAAGCGACUAAGCGUACACGGUGGAUGCCCUGGCAGUCAGAGGCGAUGAAGGACGUGCUAAUCUGCGAAAAGCGUCGGUAAGGUGAUAUGAACCGUUACAGCCGGCGAUGUCCGAAUGGGGAAACCCAGUGCAAUUCGUUGCACUAUCGUUAACUGAAUACAUAGGUUAACGAGGCGAACCGGGGGAACUGAAACAUCUAAGUACCCCGAGGAAAAGAAAUCAACCGAGAUUCCCCCAGUAGCGGCGAGCGAACGGGGAGCAGCCCAGAGUCUGAAUCAGCUUGUGUGUUAGUGGAACGGUCUGGAAAGUCCGACGGUACAGGGUGAUAGUCCCGUACACCAAAAUGCACAGGUUGUGAACUCGAAGAGUAGGGCGGGACACGUGGUAUCCUGUCUGAAUAUGGGGGGACCAUCCUCCAAGGCUAAAUACUCCUGACUGACCGAUAGUGAACCAGUACCGUGAGGGAAAGGCGAAAAGAACCCCGGCGAGGGGAGUGAAAAAGAACCUGAAACCGUGUACGUACAAGCAGUGGGAGCACCUUCGGGUGUGACUGCGUACCUUUUGUAUAAUGGGUCAGCGACUUAUAUUCUGUAGCAAGGUUAACCGUAUAGGGGAGCCGCAGGGAAACCGAGUCUUAACUGGGCGUUAAGUUGCAGGGUAUAGACCCGAAACCCGGUGAUCUAGCCAUGGGCAGGUUGAAGGUUGGGUAACACUAACUGGAGGACCGAACCGACUAAUGUUGAAAAAUUAGCGGAUGACUUGUGGCUGGGGGUGAAAGGCCAAUCAAACCGGGAGAUAGCUGGUUCUCCCCGAAAGCUAUUUAGGUAGCGCCUCGUGAACUCAUCUUCGGGGGUAGAGCACUGUUUCGGCUAGGGGGUCAUCCCGACUUACCAACCCGAUGCAAACUACGAAUACCGAAGAAUGUUAUCACGGGAGACACACGGCGGGUGCUAACGUCCGUCGUGAAGAGGGAAACAACCCAGACCGCCAGCUAAGGUCCCAAAGUCAUGGUUAAGUGGGAAACGAUGUGGGAAGGCACAGACAGCCAGGAUGUUGGCUUAGAAGCAGCCAUCAUUUAAAGAAAGCGUAAUAGCUCACUGGUCGAGUCGGCCUGCGCGGAAGAUGUAACGGGGCUAAACCAUGCACCGAAGCUGCGGCAGCGACACUAUGUGUUGUUGGGUAGGGGAGCGUUCUGUAAGCCUGCGAAGGUGUGCUGUGAGGCAUGCUGGAGGUAUCAGAAGUGCGAAUGCUGACAUAAGUAACGAUAAAGCGGGUGAAAAGCCCGCUCGCCGGAAGACCAAGGGUUCCUGUCCAACGUUAAUCGGGGCAGGGUGAGUCGACCCCUAAGGCGAGGCCGAAAGGCGUAGUCGAUGGGAAACAGGUUAAUAUUCCUGUACUUGGUGUUACUGCGAAGGGGGGACGGAGAAGGCUAUGUUAGCCGGGCGACGGUUGUCCCGGUUUAAGCAUGUAGGCUGGUUAUCCAGGCAAAUCCGGAUAAUCAAGGCUGAGGUGUGAUGACGAGGCACUACGGUGCUGAAGUAACAAAUGCCCUGCUUCCAGGAAAAGCCUCUAAGCAUCAGGUAACAUCAAAUCGUACCCCAAACCGACACAGGUGGUCAGGUAGAGAAUACCAAGGCGCUUGAGAGAACUCGGGUGAAGGAACUAGGCAAAAUGGUGCCGUAACUUCGGGAGAAGGCACGCUGGUGUGUAGGUGAAGUCCCUGCGGAUGGAGCUGAGACCAGUCGAAGAUACCAGCUGGCUGCAACUGUUUAUUAAAAACACAGCACUGUGCAAACACGAAAGUGGACGUAUACGGUGUGACGCCUGCCCGGUGCCGGAAGGUUAAUUGAUGGGGUUAUCCGUAAGGAGAAGCUCUUGAUCGAAGCCCCGGUAAACGGCGGCCGUAACUAUAACGGUCCUAAGGUAGCGAAAUUCCUUGUCGGGUAAGUUCCGACCUGCACGAAUGGCGUAAUGAUGGCCAGGCUGUCUCCACCCGAGACUCAGUGAAAUUGAACUCGCUGUGAAGAUGCAGUGUACCCGCGGCAAGACGGAAAGACCCCGUGAACCUUUACUAUAGCUUGACACUGAACAUUGAGCCUUGAUGUGUAGGAUAGGUGGGAGGCUUUGAAGCGUGGACGCCAGUCUGCGUGGAGCCAACCUUGAAAUACCACCCUUUAAUGUUUGAUGUUCUAACGUUGGCCCCUGACCGGGGUUGCGGACAGUGUCUGGUGGGUAGUUUGACUGGGGCGGUCUCCUCCCAAAGCGUAACGGAGGAGCACGAAGGUUAGCUAAUCCUGGUCGGACAUCAGGAGGUUAGUGCAAUGGCAUAAGCUAGCUUGACUGCGAGCGUGACGGCGCGAGCAGGUGCGAAAGCAGGUCAUAGUGAUCCGGUGGUUCUGAAUGGAAGGGCCAUCGCUCAACGGAUAAAAGGUACUCCGGGGAUAACAGGCUGAUACCGCCCAAGAGUUCAUAUCGACGGCGGUGUUUGGCACCUCGAUGUCGGCUCAUCACAUCCUGGGGCUGAAGUAGGUCCCAAGGGUAUGGCUGUUCGCCAUUUAAAGUGGUACGCGAGCUGGGUUUAGAACGUCGUGAGACAGUUCGGUCCCUAUCUGCCGUGGGCGCUGGAGAAUUGAGGGGGGCUGCUCCUAGUACGAGAGGACCGGAGUGGACGCAUCACUGGUGUUCGGGUUGUCAUGCCAAUGGCACUGCCCGGUAGCUAAAUGCGGAAGAGAUAAGUGCUGAAAGCAUCUAAGCACGAAACUUGCCCCGAGAUGAGUUCUCCCUGAGACUAUAAGUCUCCUGAAGGAACGUUAAAGACGAUGACGUUGAUAGGCCGGGUGUGUAAGCGCAGCGAUGCGUUGAGCUAACCGGUACUAAUGAACCGUGAGGCUUAACCUU
Molecule: ribosomal RNA, 2902 nt
Filed under: Klebsiella pneumoniae
Lineage: Bacteria; Pseudomonadati; Pseudomonadota; Gammaproteobacteria; Enterobacterales; Enterobacteriaceae
Also listed under: 2 other names
Description: 23S ribosomal RNA
Rfam family: Bacterial large subunit ribosomal RNA
Source: RNAcentral